UCUGUGAUCUUACUUUACACCUGUCAAUCAUUCAAUUGUUGUUAAUAAGAGUGUCCACUAAAUUGGCCUUAUGGCUAUAAAUGGAACUUACUCUAAAAGGGAACAACAAGACUUGACCCUCUUGUACCUCUCAAUAUGUGUUUGAUUUGAACUUAAAACCAAAAAGAUGAGGUUGGUCAUACUUGAGAGGAUCGAAUCGUGCAAGGAAACCUCAAGAGAAAAAGGAAGAGGCCGUAGGAGAUACGUGACUAUAUCCU
This 257-nucleotide long non-coding RNA is filed under the name Elaeis guineensis (African oil palm). RNAcentral's name for it is "long non-coding RNA (EGUI_LNC030227)". Lineage: Eukaryota; Viridiplantae; Streptophyta; Magnoliopsida; Arecales; Arecaceae. The record is from RNAcentral.